Molecule: ribosomal RNA, 431 nt
Filed under: uncultured bacterium
Lineage: Bacteria
Description: partial 16S ribosomal RNA
Rfam family: Bacterial small subunit ribosomal RNA
Source: RNAcentral
CCUACGGGUGGCAGCAGUCGAGAAUUUUUCUCAAUGGGGGAAACCCUGAAGGAGCGACGCCGCGUGGAGGAUGAAGGUCUUCGGAUUGUAAACUCCUGUCAUUUGAGAACUAGUAUCAGAAGAGGAAGAGGCGGCUAACUCUGUGCCAGCAGCCGCGGUAAUACAGAGGCCUCAAGCGUUGUUCGGAUUCAUUGGGCGUAAAGGGAGCGUAGGCGGUCGGGUAAGUUGGAUGUGAAAUCCUGGGGCUCAACCUCAGAACUGCAUUCAAUACUGCUUGGCUAGAGUAUUGGAGAGGUGAGUGGAAUUCACGGUGUAGCAGUGAAAUGCGUAGAUAUCGUGAGGAAGACCAGCGGCGAAGGCGGCUCACUGGACAUACUGACGCUGAUGCUCGAAGGCCAGGGGAGCAAACGGGAUUAGAUACCCUUGUAGUC